RNAcentral lists this microRNA precursor (101 nucleotides) under Marmota monax (woodchuck). Lineage: Eukaryota; Metazoa; Chordata; Mammalia; Rodentia; Sciuridae. The record is from RNAcentral.
AGUGGGAUUACUGGAUCAUAUGGUAAGUUUAACAUUAACUUUAUAAGAAAUUUCAAACUAUUCUCCAGAAGGGCUAUACCAUUUGACAGUCUACUGGCAAU